ACGGGGCAGAGGGACUAUGUUGUGAGCCUGGGAAAGAAGUUUGUGUGGGGACUGUGGGCAGUGAACGCGUUGGGAACAAUAUGGAAAACUGGGAGCUGCCUUGGAAUCUACAGGGCCGGGCUGAAGAAAAGAAGAAUGGUAUUCACGCAGUUCCCAUUUUACAGAUGAAAACAAGAGGACUUUUUCUGUGAAGUCAGGAAAGUGGUUACAGUGGUACUUUCCGCCUGUCCAAAUUAUGUAUUGCCCCUCCCCUUUCUAUUAAUAACAUUGAAGUGUGAUGGGACAACCACUGAAGCCGUCAGUUGAAACCUGCUGGGACUUUUUAGCCAUUCUCUUCAACAUAAAGAAUGGGUGUUUUUGGAGGGGGUGAGAGGAAUGGGGAAAUGUUGUCAAAGAGUACAAUGUUUUAGUUGAGACAGGAAGAAUACAUUUUGUUGAGAUCUACAGCACAGCAUGGUGACUGUAGUUAACAAUGAAGUAUUGUGUAUUUCAAAAUUGCUAAGACAAUAAAUUUCAAAUGUUCUCACCACAAAAAA
RNAcentral lists this long non-coding RNA (536 nucleotides) under Pan troglodytes (chimpanzee). RNAcentral's name for it is "lincRNA". The record is from RNAcentral. Lineage: Eukaryota; Metazoa; Chordata; Mammalia; Primates; Hominidae.